CGCAAUCUUAAAAAAUAAUCGACGACAAUAGAAAAUAAAAAAAUCCUGUAUAAAAUCGAGAGAUUGCUCGUUAAAACUGACGUUAUGCGCAUGCGUAGAAAUCGUCUUCGACUAUUCGAGAAUUCGCGCCGAACACCAUUACUACGCAGUUUGUCGAGAAGUACGGUGUUUCUUUCAAGUAGUCAAUGUCUUCGUACGAAUGAUAGGACUUAACUUGAGGAAAGAGAAACAGCGUCACAUUAAAGAAAAUCGUAGAAAAAUGGAAGGAACAAUGACUGAAUUCGAAGAGAACGUAUCCUUCGAUGCCGACGACCCGGACUUUGCUCCUAAGGUUACGCGUAUCGUAGUUACACAGGCCGUCCUUCGUAGCAUGCAUUUUACCGACAUUACCUUCGGAGUCGACAAACUCGCAACGUAUCAAAACAACAUGUCUGUCACUUCGGUCCAACCUGCUUCUGAAAGUCUUUCACGUCAUGGGAGUAAUGUGUCCCUCUCUUGUCACAGUUUAUGCGAUAGUGUAGACGAUGGUCUUCAAGGUUCUCAUCCUCAAUAUCAAGAUACGAUUCUAACCAUCGAAGAGUUACGUGCUCAAUUGAACUCAUGCUUUACAUUACAUUUCGCAAUGAGUGUGUGUGUGUUGAAUGUAAACACCUCAUAUAGUCCCUUCUGUCAAAAUACAGUGGUGUGGGGUCUCUUGGAGCGAAGAACAUGUCUCUCUUGAUUGUAGUGAAUGUGGUGGUUAUUCUCUUCAACGACCUUGUCCACUUUGUGAUGGACGUUGUCACACGGCAUGGAAACGUGAUCUCACCAUGUCUCAUGCAAGUGGUAAAGCAAGAUGGAUCGGUGAAUGUGCUCUCAGUUGUGGACCUUCUCUCGAAGAAUCUUUGGUACCAGCUUUGGAAAAGCUAAGGGCAACCUCGUGAAUUUAUCGUCAACAUUAUCAUCGCUAUCAUAAUCGUCAUCGUCAUUAUCGUUACAUUGUCGAUAUUUUCGAGCAAUGUCAUCGUCGAGUCGGGCAACAACGCAACAACCAUUGCACAAGACUUAAUAAUCCAUUUCACUAAAUCCCGUUUAGUGUUUCUCAUCAUCCAAUGAUCAUCAUCAUCAUCGGUACGACAUGAGAUGUGUGAAUGUGGAUUAUUUUUUAGAUAUAUUGAGAAAGGGAGAGAGAAAAAAAAAGAGACAGAAUAUUCGUACAAACUUGAACAAAAAAAAAUGAUUCAAAAAUUUACAGAUACACAUUUCUAAACAAAAUCAAAAGAAGAAAAAAGUAUUGUUGUUAAAGCAGAAGAAGAAUCGUUUUCAAUCUACUGUACUUGAGAAUCCUUGCUGAUCGUACUACUUGGAUAGAAUUAGAAAAAUAGUUUUCAAAAAUCACAAAAUCUCUCGAAUGUCAUAUUAGAAAUCGACUAAGAACAAAUUAUCUCCAUUAAGUUAAAAAAAAAGCCGACGUUUUACUAACCAAAAUAUAAUUGGACUUGCAUAUAUCAUAGAUAGAGAAGAAAUAUAUGUGUGUGUGUGUGUGUGUAUAUAUAUAUAUAUACAUAUAUAUGUAUAUAUAUUAUAUCACUGAAGAGAUAAAUUUCAAAAAGAGCGAGAGGAAAAGAUAUUUUUCUCGACACAAAUAUUGAGCUAAUAAACAUCUCGAUUUUAAAAUUUAAUUAAACAAUUAAAAACAGAAAAAAGCAAAAAUAAGUAAAAAAAGAAUGUGUGUGUGCAUGCGUAUACAGUUUGAAAGGUUGAAAUAAUUAAAUUUCUUUUUUUUUUUUUCUUUUUUUUCCUUUUUUUCUCUUUCUUUUUCUAUAUAUUCAUUAAACUUUAUUCGAGUUUGUAAUUAAGACGGCAAAGAAAAUAUAAGACUUUGGGCAUACAAUUAAAUAAAUAAAAAAAAAAUAAAUAAAAAAAAAAAAAAAAAAAA
This is an unclassified non-coding RNA of Vespa mandarinia (Asian giant hornet), 1918 nucleotides long. NCBI's taxonomy places the organism in Eukaryota, Metazoa, Arthropoda, Insecta, Hymenoptera, Vespidae. The record is from RefSeq and is a predicted model, not a curated record.